ACAACUAUACUAUACUGACUAGUGCAACCAUCCCUGCCAAAUCAACACCGUGUUCCGGUGGUGGACGCUGGCGGAAGACGGUGCAGAAGAAGGUCGCCAAACCGCACAUAAUGCCGACCACGAUCGCUGCUAUUUUCAACCAGUCCUUCAGCUGCGUCUGAAUGCUAUCUGGUGGUAACGGUGGCGCUGGGCCAUAGAGGGGCACGGUGGGUGGCUCUAUCGGCUGGUCGAAAUAGGGCGGUGGUGGUGGCUGGUAGUGGUAGAAGUGAUAGAGGAGUGGUGGUGGCGACGGCAGCGGUGGCUGGUAAUAAGAGGUGGGUGCUGGUGGCGGUGGCUGGUCGAAGUCAGAGCGAUAGGGGGUGGUGGUGGCGACGACAGCGGUGGCUAGUUAUAAGAGGUGGGUGGUCGUGGCGAUGGCUGGUCCAAAUCAGAGCGAUAGGGAGGUGGUGGUGGCGACAACAACGGUGGCUGGUAAUAAGAGGUGGGUGGUGGUGGCAGUGGCUGGUCGAAAUCAGAGUGAUAGGGAGAUGGUGGUGGCAGCGACAUUGGUAGGAAAUCAUAGGUGGGUGGUGGCGGUGGGGAGUUGCCACAAUCGGGCGGAGGUGGUGGUGACAGUGCGGGUGGGGGUGGGAGUAAGUUGCGUGGUGAAUCGGAGUCGCGUGCCGGUGGUGUCGACAGGCCCUGGGCCACCUUCAUCACCGGGAGAAAAAGCAGCAACAACAGUAGGAGCAUCAGUUGAGAGGAAGAAAAACGGAAGAAGAAGAAGAAGAAAUGGAACAAGUAACAGAGAAGAAAACUUGUCGUGAGUGGUGCUUGGUGAAAGGGGGUUUAACUGCAGGGAGCACUACAUCCGAGUCAAGCUGUGAAGCAGUUAGGCUUAGCUGCAAUGUCUUGGUUGAGAUGUUAAAACCUCUCAAGGAAAAGUUACAUGAGGAAAUGGGUUCUAUCAAAUGGGAGACCCUUAUUCUUCAGUUCUGGACGCUAUCUCGUGGAAACAGAGGCGCUGGGCCACAGCGGGACACAAUGGGCGGCUCCAUCGACGGUGGCAAGUAGAAGUCAAGGUGACAGGUGGUGGUGAUGGCGACGACGGUAGGUAGUAAGAGGUGGGUGGUGGUGGGAAGUCGGCAAAAUCGGGCGGUGGUGGUCAGCAGUAAACUGUGGAUGGUCAGGGUCGCGUAUAGAUAUUUUGCGGCCUAAGGCGAAAAUGCCAGACCGUAGCAACUGUUACAUGAUUGACACUAUCAGACAAUACACACGAACGCAACACGCAACGGCAACACGCACGCAGCACAUACACAUACGAAAAAGAAAAAACGGAAGAAGAAGGUUUGUUGUGACUUGUGAAAUAGAAGAAAAAGAUGGAGUAUAUAUUCAGGACGAGCAUCAAGCACAGCUGCAUUGCAAUUUACUCAGAUUACCAAUUUUAGUUUACUUACAGAAUAAUAAUUGUUCCUGAAAUUAUGAUUUUUCAACGGGUUGCCUAAAUAACCCAUGAUGAAAAUUGGGUUAAAUCACCCUUUGCUUAGGUGCAUCAAUCAUAUUGCAACAUGUGUUUUUA
Molecule: RNA transcript, 1558 nt
Organism: Lotus japonicus
Lineage: Eukaryota; Viridiplantae; Streptophyta; Magnoliopsida; Fabales; Fabaceae
Gene name: indole-3-acetaldehyde oxidase-like
Exons: 4
Source: RefSeq, a predicted model, not a curated record